GUUGUAUGGUUAAGUGACUAAGCGUACACGGUGGAUGCCUUGGCAGUCAGAGGCGAUGAAAGACGUAGUAACUUGCGAUAAGCCCAGAUUAGGUAGUAACAACCAUUUGAGUCUGGGAUUUCUGAAUGGGGAAACCCACGUGCAUAAGCACGUAUCCUUACCUGAAUACAUAGGGUAAGGAGGCGAACCGGGGGAACUGAAACAUCUAAGUACCCCGAGGAAAAGAAAUCAACCGAGAUUCCGAAAGUAGCGGCGAGCGAAAUUGGACUAGCCCUUAAGCUUUACACGCGUUAGACGAACGGUCUGGAAAGUCCGACGAUACAGGGUGAUAGUCCCGUAGUUGACGACGUGUGUUCAGUGAAAUCGAGUAGGGCGGGACACGUGAUAUCCUGUCUGAAUAUGGGGGGACCAUCCUCCAAGGCUAAAUACUACUGACUGACCGAUAGUGAACCAGUACCGUGAGGGAAAGGCGAAAAGAACCCCUGUGAGGGGAGUGAAAUAGAACCUGAAACCGUGUACGUACAAGCAGUAGGAGCAGGCUUUGUCCUGUGACUGCGUACCUUUUGUAUAAUGGGUCAGCGACUUAUAUUCAGUGGCAAGGUUAACCAUCUAGGGGAGCCGUAGGGAAACCGAGUCUUAACUGGGCGUUCAGUCUCUGGAUAUAGACCCGAAACCAGGUGAUCUAGCCAUGGGCAGGUUGAAGGUUGAGUAACAUCAACUGGAGGACCGAACCGACUAAUGUUGAAAAAUUAGCGGAUGACUUGUGGCUAGGGGUGAAAGGCCAAUCAAACCUGGAGAUAGCUGGUUCUCCCCGAAAGCUAUUUAGGUAGCGCCUCGGACGAAUACUACUGGGGGUAGAGCACUGUUAAGGCUAGGGGGUCAUCCCGACUUACCAACCCUUUGCAAACUCCGAAUACCAGUAAGUACUAUCCGGGAGACACACGGCGGGUGCUAACGUCCGUCGUGGAGAGGGAAACAACCCAGACCGCCAGCUAAGGUCCCAAAUUACUACUAAGUGGGAAACGAUGUGGGAAGGCUCAGACAGCCAGGAUGUUGGCUUAGAAGCAGCCAUCAUUUAAAGAAAGCGUAAUAGCUCACUGGUCGAGUCGGCCUGCGCGGAAGAUGUAACGGGGCUAAGUAGUAAACCGAAGCUGCGGCAAUGUGCUUUUGCACAUUGGGUAGGGGAGCGUUCUGUAAGCGGUUGAAGGUGUGUGGUAACGCAUGCUGGACGUAUCAGAAGUGCGAAUGCUGACAUGAGUAACGAUAAAGGGGGUGAAAAACCUCCUCGCCGGAAGACCAAGGGUUCCUGUCCAACGUUAAUCGGGGCAGGGUAAGUCGACCCCUAAGGCGAGGCCGAAAGGCGUAGUCGAUGGGAAACGGGUUAAUAUUCCCGUACUUCUUACAAUUGCGAUGGGGGGACGGAGAAGGCUAGGUGGGCCUGGCGACGGUUGUCCAGGUUCAAGUGCGUAGGCUUAAGAGUUAGGUAAAUCCGGCUCUUUCUAAGGCUGAGACACGACGUCGAGCACCUACGGGUGUGAAGUCAUUGAUGCCAUGCUUCCAGGAAAAGCCUCUAAGCUUCAGAUUGUAAGGAAUCGUACCCCAAACCGACACAGGUGGUCGGGUAGAGAAUACCAAGGCGCUUGAGAGAACUCGGGUGAAGGAACUAGGCAAAAUGGUACCGUAACUUCGGGAGAAGGUACGCUCUCGACGGUGAAGUCCCUCGCGGAUGGAGCUAUUGAGAGUCGCAGAUACCAGGUGGCUGCAACUGUUUAUUAAAAACACAGCACUGUGCAAAAUCGUAAGAUGACGUAUACGGUGUGACGCCUGCCCGGUGCCGGAAGGUUAAUUGAUGGGGUUAGACUUCGGUCGAAGCUCUUGAUCGAAGCCCCGGUAAACGGCGGCCGUAACUAUAACGGUCCUAAGGUAGCGAAAUUCCUUGUCGGGUAAGUUCCGACCUGCACGAAUGGCGUAAUGAUGGCCACGCUGUCUCCACCCGAGACUCAGUGAAAUUGAAAUCGCUGUGAAGAUGCAGUGUACCCGCGGCUAGACGGAAAGACCCCGUGAACCUUUACUACAGCUUGGCACUGAACAUUGACCCUACAUGUGUAGGAUAGGUGGGAGGCUUUGAAGCACGUACGCCAGUAUGUGUGGAGCCGUCCUUGAAAUACCACCCUUGUAGUGUUGAUGUUCUAACGUCGACCCCUAAUCGGGGUUGCGGACAGUGCCUGGUGGGUAGUUUGACUGGGGCGGUCUCCUCCCAAAGAGUAACGGAGGAGCACGAAGGUGGGCUAAUCACGGUUGGACAUCGUGAGGUUAGUGCAAUGGCAUAAGCCCGCUUGACUGCGAGAAUGACAAUUCGAGCAGGUGCGAAAGCAGGUCAUAGUGAUCCGGUGGUUCUGAAUGGAAGGGCCAUCGCUCAACGGAUAAAAGGUACUCCGGGGAUAACAGGCUGAUACCGCCCAAGAGUUCAUAUCGACGGCGGUGUUUGGCACCUCGAUGUCGGCUCAUCACAUCCUGGGGCUGAAGUCGGUCCCAAGGGUAUGGCUGUUCGCCAUUUAAAGUGGUACGCGAGCUGGGUUUAGAACGUCGUGAGACAGUUCGGUCCCUAUCUGCCGUGGGCGUUGGAAGAUUGAAGGGGGCUGCUCCUAGUACGAGAGGACCGGAGUGGACGAACCUCUGGUGUUCGGGUUGUGUCGCCAGACGCAUUGCCCGGUAGCUAAGUUCGGAAUCGAUAACCGCUGAAAGCAUCUAAGCGGGAAGCGAGCCCUGAGAUGAGUCUUCCCUGAUACUUUAAGUAUCCUAAAGGGUUGUCGGAGACUACGACGUUGAUAGGUCAGGUGUGUAAGUGCUGUGAGGCAUUGAGCUAACUGAUACUAAUUGCCCGUGAGGCUUAACCAUACAACACCCAAGGGGUUU
Molecule: ribosomal RNA, 2916 nt
Filed under: Vibrio parahaemolyticus
Lineage: Bacteria; Pseudomonadati; Pseudomonadota; Gammaproteobacteria; Vibrionales; Vibrionaceae
Description: bacterial LSU rRNA
Rfam family: Bacterial large subunit ribosomal RNA
Source: RNAcentral